AAAUAAAAAUAAAAAGUGGUGUUUUGGUGUUCCAUUGGUGUUGCAUGGAAGAAAAUAAGUCAUACAGAUUUGGAAUGUCAAGAGGGUAAGUAAAUGAUGACUGAAUUUUCAUUUUUGGGAGAACUAUCCCUUUAAUUAUGGGACACUAAAUUCCCAUCAUACAGCGGCCACCAUAUAGCAAAACGUCAUGCUAAUGAUAAUCUAAAACCACCUCAUUUUGCACUGAUGUGAAACUCUGCCAGCGGCGACUGGUUUGUGCCUUUAUAUUGAAAGAGGACGAAACUACCUCCCACUGUGAUUGCUGAUGAUGGAGAUAGAGCGAAAUGAAGGGGAAACUUAAAAGUGAGAUAGUAAAUGUGACAUUACUUAAAUGAGCAAUUAGCUAAAAACCCAAUCGCCAGAGGCAAUCAUCCAAACACACGUUUGAUGCAUAUUCCAUCAUGUGUGAGUGCAUUUGUGUAUAUUUAAGUGUGUGUUUAGCUCUGGUAUCUAAGCAUAUAUCCUUUGCUUUUUGGGUGGAGAAGGGAAAAUGACAUCAGCUUCCUUGGAUGAAAAGAUGAUUUUCAUCUGUCCUCCCUUCAAAUAGUUUUCAUUUAUCUUCCGCAGAUUUCGUAGACAGCUUGUCGGUCUGUAUGUUUGAGAGAAGGCUGCAUGGCUUUCCAUGCACCAGUAACCCUGCAGACUGAGUCGUCAUCCCACCAGCCCUGCUAUCGGCCCAUCACUGUGAUCCUCUGGCUCCACGACUACUGUGGCCACUGACAGUGCGGUUUUUUGUAGAUGAGGUUUCUGCUAUUGAAAUAGGCCUGCAUUGAUUUUCAAAGGCAAAAUACUUGUGAUCCUAGAGUGUUACGGUGUGGUUUAGUUUGCAGAAAUCUUACAUUCGUCAAAUUUUUUAACUAAAGGCUGAAUAAAUUGCAUGCGGAAGGAAAAUCCAGAAAUAAUGAGAAUGAAAAGCCUUUCAUGUACAAUAUGUGAUUCCGUAAACAAAACCGAUGCGAAUUAGCUCAUCUGUCUGAGGAGAUUUACUGGAUUGUUAUGAAACAGGAUACUGAGCAGCAACAGCCUCUGUCAGGGAACAUCAUGAUGUUAGUUGUUUCCAGGACCAAAUGACUUGUUGCCAAAUGCCAAAUUAUGUUAAUACGCUUAACAACAACCACGUGUAAAGUCGCAGAGACUCAGGGGUGAAGAAAUGAUUUGAAAAUGGGUUGAGACACAUUAAAGUAUGGAUAUUCAUUCUACCGAAAGCUUGGUGGGUACAUGGGGUGAAGACAAGCAUUUUAAAAUGUUUGGAAGUUGUAAUUUUUACUAUGUCUUGUAAACUGGUUAUACUACUCAAUAAUAAUACAGCACAAGUUUGGAGAAAAGAAAUACAAUAAAACAAUCUGCACAUUCUUUGAAUAAGGAACAAAUUGGUGUCUUAUUCCUUUUUUUUAACCUAUUAGAAAUAUAACUGUGUCACUGUGCAUGGAAGCCUACAGCAUGAUUUUCCCCAAUUAAUGUCCUUAAAACUGU
Cyprinus carpio carpio is the source of this 1512-nucleotide long non-coding RNA. NCBI's taxonomy places the organism in Eukaryota, Metazoa, Chordata, Actinopteri, Cypriniformes, Cyprinidae. The record is from Ensembl.